RNAcentral lists this ribosomal RNA (497 nucleotides) under uncultured bacterium. RNAcentral's name for it is "partial 16S ribosomal RNA". It matches the Rfam family "Bacterial small subunit ribosomal RNA", at positions 28 to 523 of the family's 1533-position model. The record is from RNAcentral.
GACGAACGCUGGCGGCGUGCUUAACACAUGCAAGUCGAACGGAGCACCCUUGAUUGAGGUUUCGGCCAAAUGAUAGGAAUGCUUAGUGGCGGACUGGUGAGUAACGCGUGAGGAACCUGCCUUUCAGAGGGGGACAACAGUUGGAAACGACUGCUAAUACCGCAUGACGCAUUUUGAUCGCAUGGUCGAAAUGCCAAAGAUUUACCGGUGAAAGAUGGCCUCGCGUCUGAUUAGCUAGUUGGUGAGGUAACGGCCCACCAAGGCGACGAUCAGUAGACGGACUGAGAGGCUGACCGGCCACAUUGGGACUGAGAUACGGCCCAGACUCCUACGGGAGGCAGCAGUGGGGAAUAUUGGGCAAUGGGCGCAAGCCUGACCCAGCAACGCCGCGUGAAGGAAGAAGGCUUUCGGGUUGUAAACUUCUUUUAAGUGGGAAGAGUAGAAGACGGUACCACUUGAAUAAGCCACGGCUAACUACGUGCCAGCCGCCGCCGUAA